GACAUUACGUUUUCAAGAACACUCCUGUACAAAUGGAAAUGCACAGAGAGCAUGAUUUUGUCAGAUGUCUAGCCACUCAGAUAAAUCUGCCCUGCUAAUCAUGGCUUCCCACCUACAUUCCUAACAGAGAAAGAGGAAUCCCAAGUUCCUAUUGCCAAAGACAUCCCUAGGCCCUGGAACGCAAUGCCAUAAAGAGGCAAAAAACUAACAAAUAAUGAUGGAUCCCUAACUAUUUGGAAAGAUGGAACUACGUGGCUACAGACCUUUUCUCCAAAGACCCCCAUAAGCUAGAAGGCUGGAGUUAGGGAGAUUGUACAAGAGACUGGCCUGUAAAAGGAGCCCACAAAUCUGAACUCCAUGCUGAGCCAUUCAACAAGAAGUGCAGUAUGAAGCCAAAAUGCUGAAGCGGCCCAUGCAAUGCUGGGAUAGGUGGGCAGAACUCACACCGGUGUGACAUAUUUAUUUCUGCCGUUGUUAUCUUUCCGAGGCAUGGAUGACCAGAUAUGGACCAGGAUCUGCUUACCUUGUUAUACUGGCCUUUUGCUGGAUUAACUUAAAACAGCUGAGUAAAUAAACUACAAGACUUUUUAGACACCUUUAAAGGGAAACAAUCAUAUCCGCUCUAGGAGAAGUGGAGUGCUCAAAACACAAAGCAGUAAUGGAAAAGCCAGUGAAAUCAAAAUUAAUGCCAGGUUGUCUUAGCAGGCCUUUAACAGUCCAGAUAGAACCUUCCCCCUUUCUGGUCCAGGGCCUGUUUGCACAUGGGCAAGGACCAAAAAAACCCAUCCUCUACCAUGUCACUGAGUUCAAGCUUCACUUUUCUUAUGAGAAGACAUCUGCAGCCCGUAAAACUGAUAGCAACAAUCUUCUGCCCUGAAGUGCCUUUUAAGAAAUUAUUUACCUGAAAUCCAUCCUUCUCAUUAUACAUGAGUCCCUAAAUAGUUGCCAGGAAUAGCUCUUUUCACUGUUGUCAUGGAAAACAACAAAGGAGAAUCCCUGCCUCAGAUAAGCGAAGGCCCAUGUGCCAUAAGGAAGGGAAGCGAGCCAUCAAAUCCCAUAAAAAAGGUGAUGUGUUGCUUGAGUUUAUGUGUUUUCCUAUAACUGUUCUUUUUAUCAAGAUGACUUGUAUUAUUUUCAUUGAAUGUAAUAGAUUCUUUAGCCCAUCUUUACCUUUAUGUGACCUUGGAUUUUAUGGCAUGAUAACUGUGUCGAUUACAGUCGAGUUGGAUACAAAUCAACUCUGGAAUAACCUGGAUGACAGGAGGGCGAUGAGCUGCAGGUAAACAAGGCGGGCUCCUGUUAGGAGGUGGGGGUGGGGAAUUCCCACAGGGGUUAUAGCCCAGGGGUGGGGACAACCUUCCCGAGAGCUGGUGGGAUGGGAUGAGAGCCGCACAAUCAGCCUCUUGCUGAUGGUUCCAUUUGGUUUCCAGGCCUGCACUUGGAAAAACAAAAUGUGAUCCCAUCCCUGAUCUAACCUGGGCUUCCCCCAAGGCAAGCUUUAUACUUUGCCUCUUCCCCAAUUUCCCCAUAUUAUUAACUGCUUCCACUUCUUGAAAGUGGGCUUGGUGCCAUGCAAUGUGUUUGUGCUUUAGAGGCACGGACUCCCUCAUUUAAUUCUCACAACAGGCAUUGACUCCCUCAUUUAACUCUUGCCAAAUAUUUGUAUCCCCUAUUACAAGUGAGGUGCCUGAGGUAUAGAAAUUGAAUGCUUUGCUCAAGAAGUAGCUGGGACACAAAUGGACGCUUGAUGCUCAUGUUAAGAAGAAUAUUGGAGCUUUUCUUUUUUUCUUUCUUAUUUAACAUUCUUUUUUUCCUCAAGGCAUUGCCUUCAUUGUCAGCCCUCUCCACUUCAAAUUUUCAAAGCUGGUGUUUAAAUUCUUACUGAAAGAAAUGACAAGACUUCUCAAUAACAAAGAUCUCAGAUUUGAAAAAUGAAAGUUCAUCAUGUGCAUCUGCUGUGUGGAGAUUUACAUUUUGCAACUAUUUUGCUCAGCAUCAGGGCUAUGUGAGCUGCUGCAAUUAUGUGUCCUCCUGCCCUGUCUCCUCCAGAGGGCAAGGAUUUCUGCCCAGAAGGACUGACCGGCCAUAUUCACAGAUCUUGGGCCAAUGCUCCAUCAGCCAUGUUGUGAGAACAAAGGCUUUGGAACAUGUACUCAGGCAAAAAAAGACAAUGUGACUGUGGGAAGUGGCAGCAGGUGGUACAACUUAUCUUCCUGAAAUCCAGCUUGGGGAGUUUGACUUGAAAUAAAUGACCAGGAUGAACUGCUGGGUUGUGUUCACUGUGAGAACAUGGCAAUGUUUCUCCCCAUCUAGUACUGGGAAUGAAACUGUCUUUUCUGGUUCCUGGCAAUCUUUAACUGGGAAGAAAAAUAAAAAUAGAUGAGCAAAACUACCUCCCUUUGAGUUAUAAUCUUCAUAUUCAUGGAAGGACGCACAUCCGCUUUUUGGCAGAUUUCUGCAGGAAAUUGAUCAAAGAGUCAAGAACUCUUGCCCACAUGCCUUGGUUCCUUCUCUAAACCCCUCUCAUCUCCUCACCCACCUGGUCAACCUCUGUCUUCCACCCCAAGUGUCUUCAG
Molecule: long non-coding RNA, 2576 nt
Organism: Mirounga angustirostris (Northern elephant seal)
Lineage: Eukaryota; Metazoa; Chordata; Mammalia; Carnivora; Phocidae
Exons: 4
Source: RefSeq, a predicted model, not a curated record